Molecule: long non-coding RNA, 435 nt
Organism: Aegilops tauschii subsp. strangulata
Lineage: Eukaryota; Viridiplantae; Streptophyta; Magnoliopsida; Poales; Poaceae
Source: RefSeq, a predicted model, not a curated record
CCAAGAGCGACCACCUGUGUUGGAUGACCAUGGCAAAGUAUGCACAUAUGUCUUUCAUCAUUAUGGUCCUUGUUCUACGCGCCAGCUUCAAAGCCCAAGGACAACUAGGACCGACGGACACACACAACAUCACCGAGUACAUCCCAUUGGAGUUCACAAAGACUUUUUUCCAGACCCACGGAAUACAUCCCUCCGAUACAUCGAUUGCGUUUAAAAGGUGUAGGCCGUGCCCCUGCUGCCCAAAGGAUCCCAAGAAACCAUGUAUUGAAGCACCAAGCUGUUGCUAUCAGAUAAACUGCAAUGAUCCUGGGCAACCACUUGGUACUUGUACUGAACGCGCGUUCUCCUGUAAUUGUGACAAUAGUUGCAAGUGAUCAAGUGUUUCCCUUAAAAAAACUGUUUUUGUUUUCCCGCAAAAAAAACUGUUUUUAGUUA